This 253-nucleotide ribosomal RNA is filed under the name uncultured bacterium. RNAcentral describes it as "partial 16S ribosomal RNA". It matches the Rfam family "Bacterial small subunit ribosomal RNA", at positions 524 to 776 of the family's 1533-position model. The record is from RNAcentral.
UACGUAGGGGGCAAGCGUUGUCCGGAGUUACUGGGCGUAAAGCGCACGCAGGCGGUCUGUUAAGUUUGGAGUGACAGUUGGUGGCUUAACUGCCAAAGUGCUUCGAAAACUGAUCGACUUGAGGGCUUCAGAGGGACACGGAAUUCCGGGUGGAGUGGUGAAAUGCGUAGAGAUCCGGAGGAACACCGAAGGCGAAGGCAGUGUCCUGGGGAGUACCUGACGCUCAGGUGCGAAAGCCAGGGGAGCGAACUGG